UGAGGUAGUAGAUUGUGUAGUU
This 22-nucleotide non-coding RNA is filed under the name Haplochromis burtoni (Burton's mouthbrooder). Its record names the gene abu-let-7f. Lineage: Eukaryota; Metazoa; Chordata; Actinopteri; Cichliformes; Cichlidae. The record is from miRBase by way of RNAcentral. RNAcentral also lists the same sequence under 2 other names.